AAGGAGCUCAGGCCCCGGCAGGCGCCCCCCGCCACCACCCCGCCGCCCCCUGCCAGCCGUCGACAAGCAGCCGGCUCCCCCCGGCCCGGGCCGGGCGGGGAGGGGCGCCCACACAAAAGGGGCAGCGACUGGGGAAGGGGCUACGGGCGGCGCCGGCUAGCCGAGGCCUGGCCCGCCUUGCCCGCGCCGCCCGCCCGCCCACCGGCGACCACCCGCCUCCCCGCGCGCUCCUCCCGGUCCCCGGGUCCCCGCGCGCCCCGCGCGCCCGCGGCCCGGGAGACGGCGGCGGCGGCCCGGGAAGGACACGGAGCCGGACCCGCCGCGCGAGGCUGGGGCGGCGCGGGCUCCCGGCGGCCGCCCCGGGAAUCAAACUCGCGCCCGCCCGACCCUCGCGGCGGCGCCUCGGCGAGCGGGCCUGGAAGGUGGGGCCGAGGCGCGCGCGGGCCGGGCGGCGCCGGCGGGGGUGAAGGGGGUCUUACCGAGCAGCCACGCGCGUCCGCUCCCCGCGGGCCGGAGGGGCCGGAGGGCCGGGGCUGGGGCGGGCGCGGCCCCGCGGCGGCGGCGGCGGGCCCCGGCGGCGGCGCGGCCGGGGCGCGGGAGGCGGGGAAAGCGAGGCGCGGCCGGCUUCCUAGCGGCGGGCGGCGCGAAAUGCAGCUGUCCCUGCGCGGCCGCCGCGAGGCCACAAGUGGGGCCGCGCGGGGAGGAGCGGGCCUGCGGGCGGGGCGCGGGCCGGGCCGCGGUCCCCAGACCCUCUCCGCAGCCGGCCCCUCGGAGAGGGGAGGGAAGCGGGGUCGGGGGCCGCCAGCGACGCCAAUCGCAGGGGCUGGGCGUGGGGGGUUGGAGGGUGAGGGCCGGGCAAAGACGAGGCGGAUCCCCGGGGGACCGACCCCCGCGGCAGCCACGGGGACUCCCGGCUGGAGGGCCGGAGGACCCGAUCGGGGAGCGUCGGUACCCCGGGCCGCGCGGGGCGUCUUGCGCCUCCCUGCUCCAGGAGCGGCACCAGGGAGGCGCACCCAGGAGAAGGUGGGGCGGGAGACCCGAGACCUCAGCUGGGGGUGGGGGGACCUAAAAGCAGGGCUGCCCAGAGGGUGUGGCCGCGCCUCUGGGGCCUGGGACAGCUGA
RNAcentral lists this long non-coding RNA (1122 nucleotides) under Bos grunniens (domestic yak). Its description in RNAcentral is "lncRNA (ENSBGRG00000015434.1)". Lineage: Eukaryota; Metazoa; Chordata; Mammalia; Artiodactyla; Bovidae. The record is from RNAcentral.